AUUAAUAUUAAAUAAGAGAUUAAAUAAGGAUAAGAGGAAGAAACUUAUUGCCUUCUUCAUCCAUCCUAGCCGGCCAACAACUUUCUCUAUUCUCUUUAGUUUCAUCUUCAUCCUUGAAACAAAAUUCAAGAUAAUCAAGUGUUGCUAAUCUUGAAUUAAACCUUGAGAAAAUUGUUUUUCCUCACUUCCAACAAGAAAUUCCUUGAAACACAAUACUUUUUCACCCUUCUUCUUCGCUGCUAGCUUUUAAAGAACGAGGAAGAGCUCUUGGUUGAUCAAUGUUGCUUUAAUCAAGUGCUUGUGUGGACAAGCCAGAAGACUAGCAAUUGAGAGUCUUCACUACCCGGAUUUAGUAGGAAUUAUUGAUUCUGCGUCUUGAGGGAACCAACUACUGCUGCUUUUUCCCCAAAAAAAAAUAAAAAAAAAAGUGUGCGGAGAGCAAUCACAAAUAGUAACUUACAAAUAGUAACUUGUAACUGUCUUGCUCUCUUGGAUCCAAAUAUCCCUUCUCCUGACAUCCCACCGGAACAGUGCAGCAACAACACUCGAUUGCAGGUGACUUACACAGUAGAUCAUUUCGAAGAUAUCCCAAAUGAUUUUUCGGCAGAUUUGGCAGAGAUGAGAAAUAUAAACUUGAUAUAAAAAAUCUAAUCAAAAUAGCAAACAAAAUAGCAUCCAAGUAUAUGGAUUCAUCUCAUGUGUCUAAUCAAUAUGGAAUUGAACAACGUGGUUAGGUUUUAUAUAUUUAUUUAUGUUUUAAUUUACAAUAGAAUUUAUACAGUAGGCAAUAAAAUGCACUCGAUUUUAUAUUUUAUUAAUAUUUGGGCACUCAAGUCAUGACCCUUGCAAAAUUAUUUCUUAGAAAUUUUAUUGAAACAGCAGAAUCAUGAACAAGUUGCAAUUCCAUUCGCUAUUUCUGAAAGCAGGGCUCAACAACAAAGCCAGACUAAGGGCUGGCACUGCAGUUAGGCCAAGUUACUGGCUUAGGGGGUAUCACCUUCAAUACAGGACUGCGUUCAAAGAAAUUAGUGGGUCGAAGCUCAAAUCCAGAGCUCAACGUUGGCAUCAACGGGAAGUCUUCUUGGCAAGGGACAUGAUGGAUUCCAAUGACAUACCAUAACACUAUGUCCUUGUUAUCAAUCUCCCUGUUCCUGCACAUUCAAACAAAAGAAAAACACGAAUUAUAAGAUCUUUAUUUAGUGAAAUAAUGUCUUCUAUAUAAUAUAAUAUUUAAUCAACAGAAGGCACCUGAGGCUCCAAACAGCUAAUGUAUCUUGGCCAUGGCUUUGAUCAACAUAGCGUCCUCCUGCCCAUUUUUCAGACUUGUUAUAUGGGGUAACCCACACAUUAUAUUGGGUAAAGGCCCCUCGGAUUUGUGGGUAA
Hevea brasiliensis (rubber tree) is the source of this 1383-nucleotide long non-coding RNA. RefSeq lists it as uncharacterized. The transcript has 2 exons. The record is from RefSeq and is a predicted model, not a curated record. Lineage: Eukaryota; Viridiplantae; Streptophyta; Magnoliopsida; Malpighiales; Euphorbiaceae.